Molecule: ribosomal RNA, 490 nt
Filed under: uncultured bacterium
Lineage: Bacteria
Description: bacterial SSU rRNA
Rfam family: Bacterial small subunit ribosomal RNA
Source: RNAcentral
UGGGGAAUCUUGGACAAUGGGGGCAACCCUGAUCCAGCCAUGCCGCGUGAGUGAUGAAGGCCUUAGGGUCGUAAAGCUCUUUCGCCUGUGAAGAUAAUGACGGUAGCAGGUAAAGAAACCCCGGCUAACUCCGUGCCAGCAGCCGCGGUAAUACGGAGGGGGUUAGCGUUGUUCGGAAUUACUGGGCGUAAAGCGCACGUAGGCGGACCAGAAAGUUGGGGGUGAAAUCCCGGGGGCUCAACCCCGGAACUGCCUCCAAAACUAUUGGUCUAGAGUUCGAGAGAGGUGAGUGGAAUUCCAAGUGUAGAGGUGAAAUUCGUAGAUAUUUGGAGGAACACCAGUGGCGAAGGCGGCUCACUGGCUCGAUACUGACGCUGAGGUGCGAAAGUGUGGGGAGCAAACAGGAUUAGAUACCCUGGUAGUCCACACCGUAAAACGAUGAAUGUUAGCCGUCGGGCAGUAUACUGUUCGGUGGCGCAGCUAACGCAUU